GAUGAACGCUGGCUGCGUGCCUAAUACAUGCAAGUCGAGCGAACAGACGGGGAGCUUGCUCCUCUGACGUUAGCGGCGGACGGGUGAGUAACACGUGGAUAACCUACCUAUAAGACUGGGAUAACUUCGGGAAACCGGAGCUAAUACCUGCUAAUAUAUUUAACCUCAUGGUUCAAUAGUGAAAGACGGUUUUGCUGUCACUUAUAGAUGGAUCCGCGCCGCAUUAGCUAUUUGGUAAGGUAACGGCUUACCAAGGCAACGAUGCGUAGCCGACCUGAGAGGGUGAUCGGCCACACUGGAACUGAGACACGGUCCAGACUCCUACGGGAGGCAGCAGUAGGGAAUCUUACGCAAUGGGAGAAAGCCUGACGGAGCAACGCCGCGUGAGUGAUGAAGGUCUUCGGAUCGUAAAACUCUGUUAUUAGGGAAGAACAAAUGUGUAAGUAACUAUGCACGUCUUGACGGUACCGAAUCAGAAAGCCACGGCUAACUACGUG
Molecule: ribosomal RNA, 497 nt
Filed under: uncultured bacterium
Lineage: Bacteria
Description: partial 16S ribosomal RNA
Rfam family: Bacterial small subunit ribosomal RNA
Source: RNAcentral